Molecule: ribosomal RNA, 429 nt
Filed under: uncultured bacterium
Lineage: Bacteria
Description: bacterial SSU rRNA
Rfam family: Bacterial small subunit ribosomal RNA
Source: RNAcentral
UGGGGAAUAUUGCACAAUGGGCGAAAGCCUGAUGCAGCCAUACCGCGUGGGUGAAGAAGGCCUUAGGGUUGUAAAGCCCUUUCAGCAGGGAAGAAAGGUGCGGGGUUAAUAACCCCGUAAUUUGACGGUACCUGAAUAAGAAGCACCGGCUAACUCCGUGCCAGCAGCCGCGGUAAUACGGAGGGUGCAAGCGUUAAUCGGAAUCACUGGGCGUAAAGCGCGCGUAGGCGGUCUGGUCAGUCAGAUGUGAAAGCCCCGGGCUCAACCUGGGAACUGCAUUUGAAACUGCUGGACUAGAGUGUGGUAGAGGGAAGUGGAAUUCCGAGUGUAGCGGUGAAAUGCGUAGAGAUUCGGAGGAACAUCAGUGGCGAAGGCGACUUCCUGGACCAACACUGACGCUGAGGUGCGAAAGCGUGGGGAGCAAACAGG